RNAcentral lists this ribosomal RNA (465 nucleotides) under uncultured bacterium. RNAcentral describes it as "partial 16S ribosomal RNA". It matches the Rfam family "Bacterial small subunit ribosomal RNA", at positions 28 to 507 of the family's 1533-position model. The record is from RNAcentral.
GACGAACGCUGGCGGCGUGCUUAACACAUGCAAGUCGUACGGUAAGGCCCUUUCGGGGGUACACGAGUGGCGGACGGUUGAGUAAUACGUGAGUAACCUGCCCACCACUUUGGGAUAAUGCUUGGAAACUGGUGCUAAUACUGGAUUUGUGCUUCUGCUGCAUUGUGGGUGUUGGAAAGCUCCGGCGGUUGUGGAUGGACUCGCGGCCCAUCAGCUUGUUGGUGGGGUAGUGGCCUACUAAGGCGGCCACGGGUUGCCGGCCCGAGAGGGUGACCGGCCACAUUGGGACUGCGAUACGGCCCAGACUCCUACGGGAGGCAGCAGUGGAGAAUAUUGCACAAUGGGCGGAAGCCUGAUGCAGCAACGACGCGGGCGGGAUGACGGCCUUCGGGUUGUAAACCGCUUUCAGCAGGGACGAAGCUUUUUGUAACGGUACCUGCAGAAGAAGCACCGGCUAACUACGUG